GAUGAGCGCUGGCGGCGUGCCUAAUACAUGCAAGUCGAGCGAACAGACGAGGAGCUUGCUCCUCUGACGUUAGCAGCGGACGGGUGAGUAACACGUGGAUAACCUACCUAUAAGACUGGGAUAACUUCGGGAAACCGGAGCUAAUACCGGAUAAUAUAUUGAACCGCAUGGUUCAAUAGUGAAAGACGGUUUUGCUGUCACUUAUAGAUGGAUCCGCGCCGCAUUAGCUAGUUGGUAAGGUAACGGCUUACCAAGGCAACGAUGCGUAGCCGACCUGAGAGGGUGAUCGGCCACACUGGAACUGAGACACGGUCCAGACUCCUACGGGAGGCAGCAGUAGGGAAUCUUCCGCAAUGGGCGAAAGCUUGACGGAGCAACGCCGCGUGAGUGAUGAAGGUCUUCGGAUCGUAAAACUCUGUUAUUAGGGAAGAACAAAUGUGUAAGUAACUAUGCACGUCUUGACGGUACCUAAUCAGAAAGCCACGGCUAACUACGUG
This 497-nucleotide ribosomal RNA is filed under the name uncultured bacterium. Its description in RNAcentral is "partial 16S ribosomal RNA". It matches the Rfam family "Bacterial small subunit ribosomal RNA", at positions 28 to 507 of the family's 1533-position model. The record is from RNAcentral.